ACUACAGCUACAUUUUAUAUAUAUUAACUACACGAUGAAAAAUAAUGUUAAUUUAAUUGAAUAUAAUCAUAGGUAAAUCAUGAUAAAAUCAAAAAUGACAAAUAUAUUUUUAAACUUUAUCAUUGUUUAUCAUGAACAAAAUAAAUAAAGUCUUCAUGGUGUACAGUGUAAUAGUUACCAUGUAUAUUUAUUGAAAAUGCGCAUGCGCAAGCGUGGAAAAAACCACAAAGAACGGUGGGCGCGUUGCAAAGGGCACUUGAAAUAGCGGAACGUUCCGGAAUUUGAUUGACAUUUCGAACGCACCCAUAGAAAGUUCUCGAUUUUGUAGCCCUCUGGUGGAAUAAAAAAGCCCUAUCGACAACAUCCUCUUGAAAAUUGAAUUUGCUCCGAGAAAGAAGUCAGUGCGGUUGAGGCAUUCGUUGCGAUAAGUACAUAGUUUUUUUUUCAACUCUGGGUGGCUCCGCCUCGGAGGGCACUUACUGGGCCCUGGUACCACCUGAUAAAGUGAUACUCAUGAUAUCAGAGUGGUUCUGGGACUAUUGAUAAUUAUUCAUUUAACGCACACAGAAAAUUGUAAUGGUCUAUAAAAAUGAAACAGAAUCGUAAAAAAAAUAAGUAGCGUCGGGAAAUUUGCCUGAAAAAAUCUGGUCAUCAUUGAAAAUUUUAUCGAAGUGAUGAUGAAAAUGUACAUCUGAACACGCAAGUUUUAAUAUAUCAGAACCCGUAAAUUCAAUGAUUUCAAUGAAAUUGAAAAACAGAGGUAAAAUCCAUCAACUCCAGAGCCAACUCUGAACAAAUUUACACGUGUUCAUGAAUAAAAUGUAAAUUCAAUAAUUUCGAAGAAAUGGAAAAACAAAGGCAGAAUUCAUCAACUCCAGAGCCAACCCUCAACAAAAUUUGUAUGUGCUCAUGAAUAAAAUAAUUUAAAUGUAAAAUAAAAUAAAAGGCAGGAUUCAUCAACUCCAGAGCCAGCUUCGAACAAAGUUACACGUGUUCAUAAAUAAAAUAAUUUAAAUAAAAGAAGAAGAUAGUUCCAGUGAUCAUAUAAAUUUACACAAUGAAGAAGGGCGUACGAUGUCUACAUCUUCAAAGCCAAAAGUACAACUAGCAGCAAUGUCAACAGUCCACGUGGUAAAAAGCAUUUGUGUAAUUAUUUUGUAUAAGUCACUUCAACGAGUUUUUUUUACUUUUUUGUAUCAUUUCGAUAGGCAUUACGAUUUUGUGAGUGCUUUGAAUGCAUAAUUGUCAGUUGACUCAUUAGAACCACUCUGGUACCACUUGAGAUUAGAAAAUUAUCUAUCACUUCAAAAAAAAUUCAUCUCAGAUUAAUAAAAUAAUUAAGCACUUUUUUUUUUUUUCUUUUUCACUCUUGUAUAGAGUAAAUAUUAUUGAGUUUUUCACUCUUGCAUAUAGAGAUAAUAAUAUUGCGUUUUUUUUUUUUUUUUUUAAUGACCAUGAGCAAGAACUGAAACUCAGGUAAACAAAAACACUAGUUAUUAUAUUAGUUUAAGUUUAGUUUUUAUAUAUAAUAUAAACGGUUGUCACGGUUGAUAAAAUUUUCAAUUAAUCUCUUAUAUUAAGUACAAGAUUAUUAGUCAGUAAUCAUCAAUAACUCUAAAAACUAAAAAAUAGUUAUUAUAAUAGUUUAGGUUUAGGUUUAUAAAUAUAUAAACCAUUGUGUCACUGUUGGUAAAAAUUUUAAUGAAUCUCUUAUAUUAAGUAGAAGAUUAUUGGUAAGUUAUAUCAUCAAUAACUCUAAAAUAAUAUAAUUUAUAAUUAUAAUUAUAUUAUAUAUUGUAAACCUUUUUUCUGAGGUUGUUAUAUUGUUAAAAAGUUUGAUCAAUCUAGUAUAUUAUCUAAUUUUUCUUAUGUUGUUUCUCUUUUUUAAUAUAAUCGAUAUUUAAAUAUUCAUAUUCAAUUUGAUCACGGUCAAGUUAAUUCGUACAAUGUACGUUCAUAAGAAUCAAGAGGCACAGCAGUGUCUCGUGUCAAGUGUUAGGAAGAAAAUAUAAUAAUGAAAAAAUAAUUCAUUAUUAAUGCAUUAAUGAUUAUACAGGUAAUAGUUAAUUAAUUAUUUAUGUAGCUUCAUAUCAAAAGAUAAAAAAAAAAAAUUUUUGUUUUUAUUAUAUUAGCACAAAUAAACCACCGCUACCUUCGAUGAGCAUAUAUGUAUAUAUAUAUAUAUUAUAAUAUAAUUACAUAUAAUAAAUAUAUAUAUAUAUAUGUAUAUAUCUAUAAAUAUUCUACGAUCGUCAAUAUAAUUAAAACACAUAUUCAUGAAAAAAUUCAAUAAAAUAAUAAUAAUUAUAUUUAAUCCACUAGCUAACUACGUUUACUGAUAAAAAACUAUCAAAUCAUUUAUAAUCGACUCAGUACUGUUGUAAACAAUUGAGUACAGCAGAUUAAAAGUGAUGUUAAUUGGUUAGGUUUAGUAAAUGAGUAUCGACUCUUUGAAAAAUAAGUUAAAUACUUAAUAAAAACAUGUAUAUCAUUAAGAUUAGUUUAGAAAUGACUUGAAAUGUUACCAUUUCUCAUAACGUCAUGUUAUUAAAAACAUAAGAUUAUUAUAUUAAAAAACUUUUUCUAAGUUAAAUGAAUAAUUUAAAUGA
This is a long non-coding RNA of Aphidius gifuensis, 2609 nucleotides long. RefSeq lists it as uncharacterized. NCBI's taxonomy places the organism in Eukaryota, Metazoa, Arthropoda, Insecta, Hymenoptera, Braconidae. The transcript is spliced from 5 exons. The record is from RefSeq and is a predicted model, not a curated record.